This 253-nucleotide ribosomal RNA is filed under the name uncultured bacterium. RNAcentral describes it as "partial 16S ribosomal RNA". It matches the Rfam family "Bacterial small subunit ribosomal RNA", at positions 524 to 776 of the family's 1533-position model. The record is from RNAcentral.
UACGUAGGUGGCAAGCGUUGUUCGGAAUUAUUGGGCGUAAAGGGCGCGUAGGCGGUUUGUUAAGUCGGUUGUGAAAGCCCGGGGCUCAACCCCGGAGGGUCGACCGAUACUGGCAGGCUAGAGUACAGAAGAGGUAGCUGGAAUUCCCGGUGUAGCGGUGAAAUGCAUAGAUAUCGGGAGGAACACCUGAGGCGAAGGCGGGCUACUGGGCUGAUACUGACGCUGAGGCGCGAAAGCCAGGGGAGCAAACGGG